Molecule: ribosomal RNA, 392 nt
Filed under: uncultured bacterium
Lineage: Bacteria
Description: bacterial SSU rRNA
Rfam family: Bacterial small subunit ribosomal RNA
Source: RNAcentral
AGCUAAUAGAUACCCGGGUAGUCCACGCCCUAAACGAUGUCUACUAGUUGUUGGUGGAGUAAAAUCCAUGNGUAAACGCAGCUAAACGCGUGAAGUAGACCGCCUGGGGAGUACGGUCGCAAGAUUAAAACUCAAAGGAAUUGACGGGGGCCCGCACAAGCGGUGGAUUAUGUGGAUUAAAUUCGAUGCAACGCGAAAAACCUUACCUGGCCUUGACAUGCCACUAACGAAGCAGAGAUGCAUUAGGUGCCCGUAAGGGAAAGUGGACACAGGUGCUGCAUGGCUGUCGUCAGCUCGUGUUGUGAGAUGUUGGGUUAAGUCCCGCAACGAGCGCAACCCUUGCCAUUAAUUGCCAUCAUUUAGUUGGGCACUUUAAUGGGACUGCCGGUGAC